UAGGGAAUCUUCGGCAAUGGACGAAAGUCUGACCGAGCAACGCCGCGUGCGUGAAGAAGGUUUUCGGAUCGUAAAACUCUGUUGUUAGAGAAGAACAAGGACGUUAGUAACUGAACGUCCCCUGACGGUAUCUAACCAGAAAGCCACGGCUAACUACGUGCCAGCAGCCGCGGUAAUACGUAGGUGGCAAGCGUUGUCCGGAUUUAUUGGGCGUAAAGCGAGCGCAGGCGGUUUCUUAAGUCUGAUGUGAAAGCCCCCGGCUCAACCGGGGAGGGGCAUUGGAAACUGGGAGACUUGAGUGCAGAAGAGGAGGGUGGAAUUCCAUGUGGAGCGGUGAACUGCGUAGAUAUGUGGAGAAACACCAGUGGCGAGGGCGGCUCUCUGGUCUGUAACUGUCGCUGCGGCUCGAAAGCGUGGGGAGCAAACAGG
Molecule: ribosomal RNA, 429 nt
Filed under: Gemmatimonadota bacterium
Lineage: Bacteria; Pseudomonadati; Gemmatimonadota
Description: Gemmatimonadetes bacterium partial 16S ribosomal RNA
Rfam family: Bacterial small subunit ribosomal RNA
Source: RNAcentral